This 253-nucleotide ribosomal RNA is filed under the name uncultured bacterium. RNAcentral's name for it is "partial 16S ribosomal RNA". It matches the Rfam family "Bacterial small subunit ribosomal RNA", at positions 524 to 776 of the family's 1533-position model. The record is from RNAcentral.
UACGAAGGGGGCUAGCGUUGUUCGGAAUGACUGGGCGUAAAGGGCGCGUAGGCGGCUUAAUAAGUUUGGUGUGAAAUCCCUGGGCUCAACCUAGGAAUUGCAUUGAAAACUGUUAAGCUAGAGACUAAGAGAGGGAAAUGGAAUUGCGUGUGUAGAGGUGAAAUUCGUAGAUAUACGCAAGAACACCGGCGGCGAAGGCGAUUUCCUGGCUUAGAACUGACGCUAAGGCGCGAAAGCGUGGGGAGCAAACAGG